Molecule: ribosomal RNA, 484 nt
Filed under: uncultured bacterium
Lineage: Bacteria
Description: partial 16S ribosomal RNA
Rfam family: Bacterial small subunit ribosomal RNA
Source: RNAcentral
AUUGAACGCUGGCGGCAGGCCUAACACAUGCAAGUCGAGCGGAUGAAGGGAGCUUGCUCCUGGAUUCAGCGGCGGACGGGUGAGUAAUGCCUAGGAAUCUGCCUGGUAGUGGGGGAUAACGUCCGGAAACGGGCGCUAAUACCGCAUACGUCCUGAGGGAGAAAGUGGGGGAUCUUCGGACCUCACGCUAUCAGAUGAGCCUAGGUCGGAUUAGCUAGUUGGUGGGGUAAAGGCCUACCAAGGCGACGAUCCGUAACUGGUCUGAGAGGAUGAUCAGUCACACUGGAACUGGGACACGGUCCAGGCUCCUACGGGAGGCAGCAGUGGGGAAUAUUGGACAAUGGGCGAAAGCCUGAUCCAGCCAUGCCGCGUGUGUGAAGAAGGUCUUCGGAUUGUAAAGCACUUUAAGUUGGGAGGAAGGGCAGUAAGUUAAUACCUUGCUGUUUUGACGUUACCAACAGAAUAAGCACCGGCUAACUUCGUG